UACGGGGGGGGCAAGCGUUGUUCAGAAUUACUGGGCGUAAAGGGCUCGUAGGCGGCCAACUAAGUCGGACGUGAAAUCCCUCGGCUUAACCGGGGAACUGCGUCCGAUACUGGAUGGCUUGAGUUCGGGAGAGGGAUGCGGAAUUCCAGGUGUAGCGGUGAAAUGCGUAGAUAUCUGGAGGAACACCGGUGGCGAAGGCGGCAUCCUGGACCGACACUGACGCUGAGGAGCGAAAGCCAGGGGAGCAAACGGG
This 253-nucleotide ribosomal RNA is filed under the name uncultured bacterium. Its description in RNAcentral is "partial 16S ribosomal RNA". It matches the Rfam family "Bacterial small subunit ribosomal RNA", at positions 524 to 776 of the family's 1533-position model. The record is from RNAcentral.